This 241-nucleotide unclassified non-coding RNA is filed under the name uncultured Pseudeurotium. RNAcentral's name for it is "sequence contains ITS2". The stretch from base 1 to 52 matches the Rfam family "5.8S ribosomal RNA", at positions 103 to 154 of the family's 154-position model. The record is from RNAcentral. Lineage: Eukaryota; Fungi; Ascomycota; Leotiomycetes; Thelebolales; Pseudeurotiaceae.
AACGCACAUUGCGCCCCCUGGUAUUCCGGGGGGCAUGCCUGUUCGAGCGUCAUUACAACCCUCAAGCUCUGCUUGGUAUUGGGCCCCGCCAGUCCUGGCAGGCCUUAAAAUCAGUGGCGGUGCCAUUCGGCUUCAAGCGUAGUAAUUCUUCUCGCUUUGGAGACCCGGGUGUGUGCUUGCCAGCAACCCCCAAUUUUUUCAGGUUGACCUCGGAUCAGGUAGGGAUACCCGCUGAACUUAA